AUUGAACGCUGGCGGCAGGCCUAACACAUGCAAGUCGAACGCGUGGCGGACGGGUGAGUAAUGUCUGGGAAACUGCCCGAUGGAGGGGGAUAACUACUGGAAACGGUAGCUAAUACCGCAUACCAUCGGAUGUGCCCGGAUGGGAUUAGCUAGUAGGUGGGGUAACGGCUCACCUAGGCGACGAUCCCUAGCUGGUCUGCGAGGUUGACCAGCCAAACGGGAACUGAGACAGGGUCCAGACUCCGAGGGGAGGAAGCAGGGGGGAAUAUUGCACAAGGGGCGAAAGCCGGAUGCAGCCAGGCCGCGUGUAUGAAGAAGGCCUUCGGGUUGUAAAGUACUUUCAGCGAGGAGGCGUUACUCGCAGAAGAAGCACCGGCUAACUCCGUGCCAGCAGCCGCGGUAAAC
This 405-nucleotide ribosomal RNA is filed under the name uncultured bacterium. RNAcentral describes it as "partial 16S ribosomal RNA". It matches the Rfam family "Bacterial small subunit ribosomal RNA", at positions 29 to 525 of the family's 1533-position model. The record is from RNAcentral.